Molecule: ribosomal RNA, 467 nt
Filed under: uncultured bacterium
Lineage: Bacteria
Description: bacterial SSU rRNA
Rfam family: Bacterial small subunit ribosomal RNA
Source: RNAcentral
GACGAACGCUGGCGGCGCGCUUAACACAUGCAAGUCGUGCGGUGCCGAAGGCAAGUCUUACGACAAGCCUUCGACACAGCGGCGAACGGGUGAGUAACACGUGAGUAGCUGUCCUAAGGAGGGGGAUAACGCCUGGAAACGGGUGCUAAUACCCCAUAUGCCUCGCAAGAGGUAAAAGUGUACUUGUUACAGCCUUAGGGUGUGCUCGCGGCCUAUCAGCUAGUUGGUGAGGUAACGGCCCACCAAGGCUAUGACGGGUAGCCGGCCUGAGAGGGCGGCUGGCCACACUGGGAUUGAGAUACGGCCCAGACUCCUACGGGAGGCAGCAGUGGGGAAUAUUGGGCAAUGGGGGAAACCCUGACCCAGCGACGCCGCGUGGAGGAAGGAGCCCUUCGGGGUGUAAACUCCUGUUGUAAGGGAAGAAGACAGUGACGGUACCUUACGAGGAAGCCCCGGCAAACUACGUG